GAUGAACGCUGGCGGCGUGCCUAAUACAUGCAAGUCGAGCGAACAGACGAGGAGCUUGCUCCUCUGACGUUAGCGGCGGACGGGUGAGUAACACGUGGAUAACCUACCUAUAAGACUGGGAUAACUUCGGGAAACCGGAGCUAAUACCGGAUAACAUGUUGAACCGCAUGGUUCAACAGUGAAAGACGGUCUUGCUGUCACUUAUAGAUGGAUCCGCGCCGCAUUAGCUAGUUGGUAAGGUAACGGCUUACCAAGGCAACGAUGCGUAGCCGACCUGAGAGGGUGAUCGGCCACACUGGAACUGAGACACGGUCCAGCCUCCUACGGGAGGCAGCAGUAGGGAAUCUUCCGCAAUGGGCGAAAGCCUGACGGAGCAACGCCGCGUGAGUGAAGAAGGUCUUCGGAUCGUAAAACUCUGUUAUUAGGGAAGAACAAAUGUGUAAGUAACUAUGCACGUCUUGACGGUACCUAAUCAGAAAGCCACGGCUAACUACGUG
RNAcentral lists this ribosomal RNA (497 nucleotides) under uncultured bacterium. RNAcentral's name for it is "partial 16S ribosomal RNA". It matches the Rfam family "Bacterial small subunit ribosomal RNA", at positions 28 to 507 of the family's 1533-position model. The record is from RNAcentral.